AAGUGGAAUAUUAAAAUUUGAUAUUCAAGUAUAGCAUAGUCAUAUUCGCUUACACGAUUAUAACAUCAGAUUUUCAUACCUACAGCCACAUUUCAAUGAAGGAGUGGAAGCAUUGAAACUUCCUCAACCGGUUAUUACUCGGUUUGUGCAAGUUCUGCUUGUCACCAGACGAAGAAUCUCUAGUUGUUUAACACCGACGUUAUAUGGAUGUGACGCAGUACAUCGAGGUUGUAUCAUGCCAGGCUCCGCAGUCCUCUUCAAAGAGGGAGGAACAUAUCGUAAGGGGCGUUUUGCGUCUGUCUGGGGCGUCAAGUGGGAGGUCGUUGAAGGAAAACGAUACAAAUAUUUAAGCAAAGAUGACAUACUAAUACUUGAUGAGAAACCUAACGUCAACCAGCUAUCUGAAGGCACUACAGUCGUUGGAACAGAUUCGCGAGGAAAAAUAAAGGGGGGAAACAUAAAAAGAUCAUGCAGUUCCACUCACUGUCCUAUUGAAACAAACGGUGAAGAGUGGCAGAGCAAAUUAGAAAACGUUCGAUUAUUCAAAGGAGAAUUGUGUAAAUAGUUCAAUUUCACAUGAUAUAUAAAAUGUCUGUGCGGAUGUUGAACUGUAUUGAACAAUCUUGUAAAAUUUAUCUUUCACUUUUAACGGACGCACUAAAGGUGGGCUAUCGUUAAAAGAGGAUUUGUGGAAGCUCGAUCCGCCAACAAGAUCGAAGCUUCGUGCUCACUCAAACCCUACAUUUAUUUUGAAGAAAGUAGACGACUCUUGCCACUAAUUUCACUAGGAAGAGGGGAAACAUAAAAAGAUCUUUCAGUUCCACUCAGUGUCCUAUUGUAGAGUGGCAAAGAAAAUUAGAAAACGUAAGAGUAUUCAAAGGAGUGUUGUUUAAAUAGUUCAUGUUUGACUAAUACAUCAAAA
Pocillopora verrucosa is the source of this 922-nucleotide non-coding RNA. Lineage: Eukaryota; Metazoa; Cnidaria; Anthozoa; Scleractinia; Pocilloporidae. The record is from RefSeq and is a predicted model, not a curated record.